RNAcentral lists this ribosomal RNA (447 nucleotides) under uncultured bacterium. RNAcentral describes it as "partial 16S ribosomal RNA". It matches the Rfam family "Bacterial small subunit ribosomal RNA", at positions 29 to 523 of the family's 1533-position model. The record is from RNAcentral.
AACGAACGCUGGCGGCAGGCUUAACACAUGCAAGUCGAACGCCCCGCAAGGGGAGUGGCAGACGGGUGAGUAACGCGUGGGAAUCUACCCAUCCCUACGGAACAACUCCGGGAAACUGGAGCUAAUACCGUAUACGCCCUACGGGGGAAAGAUUUAUCAGGGAUGGAUGAGCCCGCGUUGGAUUAGCUAGUUGGUGGGGUAAAGGCCUACCAAGGCGACGAUCCAUAGCUGGUCUGAGAGGAUGAUCAGCCACAUUGGGACUGAGACACGGCCCAAACUCCUACGGGAGGCAGCAGUGGGGAAUAUUGGACAAUGGGCGCAAGCCUGAUCCAGCCAUGCCGCGUGAGUGAUGAAGGUCUUAGGAUUGUAAAGCUCUUUCACCGAUGAAGAUAAUGACGGUAGUCGGAGAAGAAGCCCCGGCUAACUUCGUGCCAGCAGCCGCCGUAA